GACGAACGCUGGCGGCGUGCUUAACACAUGCAAGUCGAACGGUGAACGAGGGAGCUUGCUCCCUCCGGAUCAGUGGCGAACGGGUGAGUAACACGUGAGCAAUCUGCCCCGAACUCUGGGAUAAGCGUUGGAAACGACGUCUAAUACCGGAUACGACGCGGGAGGGCAUCCUCUCCGCGUGGAAAGAACUUCGGUUCGGGAUGAGCUCGCGGCCCAUCAGCUUGUUGGUGAGGUAACGGCUCACCAAGGCGACGACGGGUAGCCGGCCUGAGAGGGUGACCGGCCACACUGGGACUGAGACACGGCCCAGACUCCUACGGGAGGCAGCAGUGGGGAAUAUUGCACAAUGGGCGCAAGCCUGAUGCAGCAACGCCGCGUGAGGGACGACGGCCUUCGGGUUGUAAACCUCUUUUAGCAGGGAAGAAGCGAAAGUGACGGUACCUGCAGAAAAAGCACCGGCUAACUACGUG
RNAcentral lists this ribosomal RNA (470 nucleotides) under uncultured bacterium. RNAcentral's name for it is "partial 16S ribosomal RNA". It matches the Rfam family "Bacterial small subunit ribosomal RNA", at positions 28 to 507 of the family's 1533-position model. The record is from RNAcentral.